Non-coding RNA from Pelobates cultripes (western spadefoot toad), 471 nucleotides. The record is from the annotation of a GenBank genome assembly. Lineage: Eukaryota; Metazoa; Chordata; Amphibia; Anura; Pelobatidae.
CUUCACUGGGCGUCUGUUCUUUGAUGCAGCUGUCUGUAAUUGAGUUUCCUGGGUUUUGCCAAUUUUGUGAUGUCACUUCUGGUUUUUCGACAGUUGCGCGACGUCAUUUCCGGUUCGGCGAUUCAUUCCUAUGAUCAAGGUGGGCGUAUGCUUCCUGUGAUGGAUAGAUUAAUGAUGGGAGCCUUUGGGGCUCAAAAAGUAAACAAAAUCAAAGUUGUAGGCAAAUGAAAAAUGGAACAUUUAUUUUUAAAGUAUAGGAUUUUUUUGCAAAUGAAAAAAAAUGAAAAAAACACACAGAGAUCUUACUCAUUAGGGUCUAUAUGAAUACAUGGAAGGUUGAAUGUUUUGCCCAUGUGGCUAAUUAAUCGAUACUUAUGAUUACUAGGCAUCUAAAUAAUUAAUGGUAUUAUUGCUAUAUGUUGAGUGCCAGUCACUUCCAUGUAAACGGAUUAUAAGACCUCUAGAUUUUUA